This 1360-nucleotide ribosomal RNA is filed under the name Staphylococcus pseudintermedius. RNAcentral describes it as "partial 23S ribosomal RNA". It matches the Rfam family "Bacterial large subunit ribosomal RNA", at positions 1471 to 2832 of the family's 2925-position model. Lineage: Bacteria; Bacillati; Bacillota; Bacilli; Caryophanales; Staphylococcaceae. The record is from RNAcentral.
GACGCAGUAGGAUAGGCGAAGCGUGCUGUUGGAGUGCACGUCCAAGCAGUGAGAUUGAGUGUUAGGCAAAUCCGGCACUCUUAAGAUUGAGCUGUGAUGGGGAGAGGAACUUGUUCCUCGAGUCGUUGAUUUCACACUGCCGAGAAAAGCCUCUAGCUAGAAUAACGGUGCCCGUACCGCAAACCGACACAGGUAGUCAAGAUGAGAAUUCUAAGGUGAGCGAGCGAACUCUCGUUAAGGAACUCGGCAAAAUGACCCCGUAACUUCGGGAGAAGGGGUGCUCUUUGAGGUUCACGCUUCGAAGAGCCGCAGUGAAUAGGCCCAAGCGACUGUUUAUCAAAAACACAGGUCUCUGCUAAACCGUAAGGUGACGUAUAGGGGCUGACGCCUGCCCGGUGCUGGAAGGUUAAGAGGAGUGGUUAGCGCAAGCGAAGCUACGAAUCGAAGCCCCAGUAAACGGCGGCCGUAACUAUAACGGUCCUAAGGUAGCGAAAUUCCUUGUCGGGUAAGUUCCGACCCGCACGAAAGGCGUAACGAUUUGGGCACUGUCUCAACGAGAGACUCGGUGAAAUCAUAGUACCGGUGAAGAUGCCGGUUACCCGCGACAGGACGGAAAGACCCCGUGGAGCUUUACUGUAGCCUGAUAUUGAAAUUCGGUACAGUUUGUACAGGAUAGGUAGGAGCCUUAGAAGCGUGAGCGCUAGCUUACGUGGAGGCAUUGGUGGGAUACUACCCUAAUUGUAUUGGAUUUCUAACCCGCAGCACUUAUCGUGCUGGGAGACAGUGUCAGGCGGGCAGUUUGACUGGGGCGGUCGCCUCCUAAAGAGUAACGGAGGCGCUCAAAGGUUCCCUCAGAAUGGUUGGAAAUCAUUCAUAGAGUGUAAAGGCAUAAGGGAGCUUGACUGCGAGACCUACAAGUCGAGCAGGGUCGAAAGACGGACUUAGUGAUCCGGUGGUUCCGCAUGGAAGGGCCAUCGCUCAACGGAUAAAAGCUACCCCGGGGAUAACAGGCUUAUCUCCCCCAAGAGUUCACAUCGACGGGGAGGUUUGGCACCUCGAUGUCGGCUCAUCGCAUCCUGGGGCUGUAGUCGGUCCCAAGGGUUGGGCUGUUCGCCCAUUAAAGCGGUACGCGAGCUGGGUUCAGAACGUCGUGAGACAGUUCGGUCCCUAUCCGUCGUGGGCGUAGGAAAUUUGAGAGGAGCUGUCCUUAGUACGAGAGGACCGGGAUGGACAUACCUCUGGUGUACCAGUUGUCGUGCCAACGGCAUAGCUGGGUAGCUAUGUAUGGACGGGAUAAGUGCUGAAAGCAUCUAAGCAUGAAGCCCCCCUCGAGAUGAGAUUUCCCAACUUCGGUUAUAAG